CUACUUUCAUAUAAACAUUGAAUUACACGAAAGAAAAAAAAAUUCUUUCAUUAUUUCAUCUGUAUAAAAGGAUAACUCCCCAGAUAUUUUUAGAUGCUAAAUUGAAACUGGCAAGAAAGAUUUAGAGCAGUCUCAUUAUUCAAAUUAGCCGUGGCGAAGCGUUUGCCAGUAUGUCACUUUUGAUGUAUUAUUUUAAAGUUUUUGAUUUGUUUUGACGUGUCUUUUCCGAAGGCGUUCAAAAAAUAUUCUUAUAGAGACCAGAUAACGAGAAUAAUUUAUUUGCAACUAUGGUUGGAUACCAUGAAAAAUAAUUUUCACAGUUGUAUAAGUGUCAAAAUCAUCUCUCCGACGCGCAUUUCCUCAACCAAGUUUCACCAUCAGGAGAUGAUCAAGACUAUGUAAGUACAAAUUUCCAGUGAAAGUAUACUGCAAUACAAUAUAUUUCAAGCAAUUGAGAUGUAAUAUAAAAAUGAAAAGAAUA
Leptinotarsa decemlineata (Colorado potato beetle) is the source of this 481-nucleotide long non-coding RNA. The record is from RefSeq and is a predicted model, not a curated record. NCBI's taxonomy places the organism in Eukaryota, Metazoa, Arthropoda, Insecta, Coleoptera, Chrysomelidae.